Molecule: ribosomal RNA, 1066 nt
Filed under: uncultured bacterium
Lineage: Bacteria
Description: bacterial SSU rRNA
Rfam family: Bacterial small subunit ribosomal RNA
Source: RNAcentral
UUCUUAAAUGAGGGAUCGGCGGCUACCAUGCAGUCGAGGGGUAACAGGAGUGCUUGCACUCGCUGACGACCGGCGCACGGGUGCGUAACGCGUAUAGAACCUACCUUUUACUGAGGGAUAGCCUUUAGAAAUGAAGAUUAAUACCUCAUAGUAUUGUAAACUGGCAUCGGUUUAUAAUUAAAGAUUUAUUGGUAAAAGAUGGCUAUGCGUCUUAUUAGCUAGAUGGUAAGGUAACGGCUUACCAUGGCAACGAUAAGUAGGGGCCCUGAGAGGGGGAUCCCCCACACUGGUACUGAGACACGGACCAGACUCCUACGGGAGGCAGCAGUGAGGAAUAUUGGGCAAUGGAGGCAACUCUGACCCAGCCAUGCCGCGUGCAGGAAGACUGCCCUAUGGGUUGUAAACUGCUUUUAUACAGGAAGAAACACACCUACGUGUAGGUGCUUGACGGUACUGUAAGAAUAAGCACCGGCUAACUCCGUGCCAGCAGCCGCGGUAAUACGGAGGGUGCAAGCGUUAUCCGGAAUCAUUGGGUUUAAAGGGUCCGCAGGCGGUCAAUUAAGUCAGAGGUGAAAUCCCAUAGCUUAACUAUGGAACUGCCUUUGAUACUGGUUGACUUGAGUUAUACGGAAGUAGAUAGAAUAAGUAGUGUAGCGGUGAAACGCAUAGAUAUUACUUAGAAUACCGAUUGCGAAGGCAGUCUACUACGUAUAUACUGACGCUCAUGGACGAAAGCGUGGGGAGCGAACAGGAUUAGAUACCCUGGUAGUCCACGCCGUAAACGAUGGACACUAGUUGUUGGAAUUAUUCAGUGACUAAGCGAAAGUGAUAAGUGUCCCACCUGGGGAGUACGAUCGCAAGAUUGAAACUCAAAGGAAUUGACGGGGGCCCGCACAAGCGGUGGAGCAUAUGGUUUAAUUCGAUGAUACGCGAGGAACCUUACCAGGGCUUAAAUGUAGGAUGCAUUAGCUAGAGAUAGCUAUUUCUUCGGACUUCUUACAGGUGCUGCAUGGUUGUCGUCAGCUCGUGCCGUGAGGUGUCAGGUUAAGUCCUAUAACGAGCGCAC